UGGCUCAGGAUGAACGCUGGCGGCGUGCCUAACACAUGCAAGUCGAACGGACGAGAAGAGCUUGCUCUUCGAGUUAGUGGCGGACGGGUGAGUAACGCGUGAGCAACUUGCCUUUCANAGGGGGGACAACAGUUGGAAACGGCUGCUAAUACCGCAUAACAUAUAUUUUUCGCAUGGGAGAUAUAUCAAAGGAGCAAUCCGCUGAAAGAUGGGCUCGCGUUGGAUUAGAUAGUUGGUGGGGUAACGGCCUACCAAGUCAACGAUCCAUAGCCGGACUGAGAGGUUGAACGGCCACAUUGGGACUGAGACACGGCCCAGACUCCUACGGGAGGCAGCAGUGGGGGAUAUUGCACAAUGGGCGAAAGCCUGAUGCAGCAACGCCGCGUGAGGGAAGAAGGUCUUCGGAUUGUAAACCUUUGUCCUUGAUGACGAAUAAAGUGACGGUAAUCAAGGAGGAAGUCACGGCUAACUACGUG
Molecule: ribosomal RNA, 476 nt
Filed under: uncultured bacterium
Lineage: Bacteria
Description: bacterial SSU rRNA
Rfam family: Bacterial small subunit ribosomal RNA
Source: RNAcentral